CCUACGGGGGGCAGCAGUGAGGAAUAUUGGUCAAUGGGCGGAAGCCUGAACCAGCCAAGUCGCGUGAGGGAAUAAGGCCCUACGGGUCGUAAACCUCUUUUGCCGGGGAGCAAGGGCGGGGACGUGUCCCCGGAUGAGUGUACCUGAAGAAAAAGCAUCGGCUAACUCCGUGCCAGCAGCCGCGGUAAUACGGAGGAUGCGUGCGUUAUCCGGAUUUAUUGGGUUUAAAGGGUGCGCAGGCGGAGGUGCAAGUCAGCGGUCAAAUUGCGGGGCUCAACCCCGUACUGCCGUUGAAACUGCAUCCC
Molecule: ribosomal RNA, 305 nt
Filed under: uncultured bacterium
Lineage: Bacteria
Description: bacterial SSU rRNA
Rfam family: Bacterial small subunit ribosomal RNA
Source: RNAcentral